Long non-coding RNA from Mus musculus (house mouse), 9565 nucleotides. RefSeq annotates it as predicted gene, 52702. NCBI's taxonomy places the organism in Eukaryota, Metazoa, Chordata, Mammalia, Rodentia, Muridae. The record is from RefSeq and is a predicted model, not a curated record. The transcript is spliced from 2 exons.
GGGCUGUAAAAUGUACUGCUCUGAUUCUCGUGGAGGAAUUUUCAUGCUAAAUGUAUUUACUAGUUGAUGGGCAUGAUAUUAGGUCUAGGGAAUACCUAAUAUUUGUUGAACAUAAUCUUUUUUAAAAAAUGAUGGUUGUUGCUCUGAAUUCUGGCCUUUAAAUAUAUUACUGCAAUGAGAAAGCAGUGUUUUUAGCACAUAUUCUUAAAUUUGAAAAUAUUUGAAUAUUUAUCUGCAUAUUAUUCAUUAAAGAUAACUUUGAAUGACUUGAUUUAAAUAUUAUUACACCAAUAAAAUUAAAAUAGAUCAUCAAAAACCAAAUUGCUUUUUCACGCAUGUAAGAUUUUUGUCAGCUGAGGUACCUACUGUUUUCAAAGACGGUUUCUCAUGUCACUGGGAGGGUGGAAAUGAUAGAGAUUUAAAAUAACAUCUUAUGAAAUGCUUUGUAGCCAAAAUAUUGGAAACUUUGUCAUAAAGAGAUUUAAUUCAUUUUUGCUGUGUUGCAUUAGUAUUUUUAUUUUAUAAAUAGAGGAGAUUAAAAAACCUGUUUUUAUUUGAUAAGUGUGGCAGUGUUUUAAACAUUAAAAACAGUAUUCAGCAGUGUUUGCUGUGGCCAUGUUACUGGGUUGUGCUCCUGAGUGCUGUAUGGGUGUUGGGUGUGCAGGCACUGGUAGCAUUGCCAGCAAGAGCUCAUGGGUGGACAUUUCCUAAUGUGUCACUUACGUGUCAGGUCUUUCUGCUUGUACUAAUGGUGUUGAAUGGGCAGAGACAGGGAUUUCUUAGACCCAUCCUUCCGUUUGCUAGAGGAGAAGCACGGUCGGCUGGGGAAGAUGAUUCACUGAAGGACUGAGGAAGCCAGAGAGACGUGUGGUUGGAGUUGACUCUGAUUGGAUGACUGCCUUUGUUUUAUGUAUUGGAAUUUUCCUAAAAGUGGUGUGAAAGUCAAGAGAUUUAUUACCAGCAUUUCUCUUUCAGCUAAUGAGAAGGAAGCUGUAGGCUGGUAAGCUGCCGGAGUUUUGUGUCAUUUUAAGCUUCUUGAGAAAUGCAAACACUAAACCUUAAUUUUAGUAGUUAUUGCUGGACACAGCUUAGGAACAGAGGACAAAAAUCUAUGAAAGUUGGGGUUUUUUUCCCAAUAUAAUCACUGGUAUAAUCAUAGACAACUUUGAGAUUUAACCAACUGCUAUUCUGAAAUAUACAGGUUCUUGUAAUAGACAGUGUUUUGUUAUUUGAGUACAUUUAUAGGGAAAAACAAACAGGAUGGAGAUUUAAUAGCCAGUUUAGGAGAGAGCUAGAACUUAUAUUAUUCCUUGAAUAUCCUCAAAUAUUUGGUUUCUUAUAAUUAUAUAAAUUUUAUUGCUAAAAUUUCUCCAGAAUAUACUUGCACAUCUUGAUUAAUGGUAUUAGUAAAGUAACAAUAAGCUUUUUGAGAUCCAUAAUGUAUGUUUGGCACAUGAGUUCUGAACUGGUUUUUGCAUAGGGUACUUGAGACAUUUUGGAGCUUGCUUAGUGUAGAACAAGAACUGCUGGCUGAAAAUAAAUCCACUGAAAAUUAACACUGAGGUUAAUGAAACUUCUGGAUUAGUAGAGUCAUCUAUGUAUUAUCAAUGGUAAUGAGAUGCUAGACCAAGAAUGAUGAUCUACGUACAUACAAACAAACAAUCAUUUGGAUAUAUAUAUAUGCAAUCCGAAACACCUCAUUUUGUGAUCAUUUCCUGUUUUCUGAAGCACAAAAAGCAAAAUUGGUAAGAAGUGGAGUUGAUUACCUACUGAGGUAGCUCUGAUUUACUGUUCAGUAAUGAGGUCCAGAGUAGGAGUAAUACUGAUAGUUAAAUCUGUAAUUCCAAUUUUCAGUCCUUUUUUUCUUUUUCUUUUUUUAAACAGUGUUUCAUGUAACUCAGACUAACAUUGAACUCACUGUAGUUGAGGGUGACCUAGGCCUCCUGAUCCUCUUGCUUCCACCUCCCAGGUUUAGAGAUUACAAAUGUCCACCACCAUAGCAUGAUCUCAGUACUGCAUUUCUGUCUUUUCUGGAAAAAAGACCAUUUACUAGAGCUGUUAUUAAAUGGUAGCAUCUAAGAAAGUGUACUUCGCUACUUCUUCCUGACUCUACUUUCUAAUGGAGAUGCUAAUAAGAAAUUAAGUUUAGCCUAUCAUUGAGGAUCCUACCUUGUCUCUUUUGAAUGUGUUGUUUCUCUAGCUAAUAAAGUAAAUAAUUAUACAGAUUCAUAUCUCAAGCAUAGAAAAAAGGUUUUAAAACCAAGAGCAUUAAUAUGAGUAUCCUGCCUACACAUAUGUAUGUGCACCAUAUGUGUGUGCGCCACACCUGGUGUCUGCAGGGGAUGGGGGUGGUGGUGGUGGUGGUGGUGGUGGUGGUGGUGGUGUCUGGUCCCUGGAGCAAGUUACAGGCAGUUAUGAGCCACCAUGUGGGUACAAGGAAAUGAACCUCGGUCCUCUGCAAGAAUAGUGAGUGCUCUUAACUCCCAAGCUAUCUUUCUAACCCCACCUGGAGUUUUUUGGUUGGUCUUAUUUUUGCUUUUGUUUUGGUGCUGAAGAUUGAAAUUGAGGCCUCGUGCAUAUUAAGCACAUGCUCACUCACAGAGCUACACUCCAGUCAAGUUUUUGGUUUUGUAUUUAUAUAUGCUCUCUACUUUAAAGUAAAAUACUAAUUUUCUUUUUUUUCUUCAUUUUUAUUGGUUAUUUUAUUUAUUUACAUUUCAAAUGUUAUCCCCCUUCCCAGUUUCCCUUCCAUAAGCUUCCUAUCCCCUCCUCCCUCCCCCCUACCUCUGUAAGGGUGAUCCCCAUCUGCACACACACUCCUGCCUCCGUGGCCUAGCAUUCCCCUAUUCUGGGUCAUCAAGCCUCCAUAAGACCAAGGCCUCCCCUCCCAGUGAUGCCAGAUAAGGCAAUCCUCUGCUACACAUCCAGCUGGAGCUAUGGGUACCUCCCAUGCACUCUUUGGUUGGUGGUUUAGUCCCUGGGAGCUUUGGUGGGGGGGGGGGGGGCGUCUGGUUGGUUGAUAUUGUUGUUCUUCCUAUGAGGUUGCAAACUCCUUCAGCUCCUACAGUCCUUGCCUUAACUUCCCUAUUAUGGUCUCUGCGCUCAGUCCAAUGUUUGGCUGUGUACAUCCACAUCUGUAUUGGUCAGGCUCUGGCAGAGCCUCUCAGGGGGCAGCUAUAUGGGGCUUCUGUCAGCAAGCACUUCUUAGCAUCAGCAAGUGUCUCGGUUUGGUGUCAGCAGAUGGGAUGGAUCCCUAGGGAGCCCACAUACACAUGGAAGCUGAACUAGUAUCUAUUCACUGAUAACUUAGUCAGGGAAGAAAUAAAGAAAGAAAUUAAAGACUUUUUAGAAUUUAAUGAAAAUGAAGGCACAAUAAACCCAACUUAAUGGAACACAAUGAAAGCAGUGCUGAGAGGAAAAUUCAUAGCUCUGAGUGCUUCCAUAAAGAACCUGAAGAGAGCAUACACUAGCAACUUAACAGAAUAUCUGAAAGCUCUAGAACAAAAAGAAGCAAAUACACCCAAGAGUAGACCUGCAGGAAAUGAUCAAACUCGGGGCUGAAAUCAACCAAGUAGAAACAAGAGAACUAUACAAAAAAAUCAACAAAACCAGGAGCUGGUUCUUUGAGAAAAUCAUCAAGAUAGAUAAACCCUUAGCAAGACUAACCAGAGGGCACAGAGACAGUAUCCAAAUUAACAAAAUCAGAAAUGAAAAUGGAGACAUAACAACAGAAACUAAAGAAAUGCAAAAAAAUAUCAGAUCCUGCCACAAAACUUGAAAAUCUAGAUGAAAUGGAUGAUUUUCUAAGUUUUUGUUUCUUGUGUGGUCUGUGAGUUCUCAUCUUGAAACUCUUUCUCUCUUUUCUUCUCCCUGCUCCCAGUCACCCUGUACUGACGCUUGCAGUGAGAUCUCUGUCCCCUGAGUGCCAGUUGUACAUUUCCGUUUAGUCAUCUUAGUGUUUAUCAUUUGAAAGCUGGUCAGUCUAAAGCAGGUCUUGUUGGAAAAUAAAUAGCUUCAAGUUUGGACUUAUUUCUGUCAAUACUUUUCUUUUGAGUUGCUGACAUCUCAAAUAUAUAUUUGAGACGUUUUGGGGGUAACAGUGCUUGCUGUGCAAGCAUGAAGACCCAAGCUAGAAUCCCCAGUUCCCACAUAAAAAUCUAGGCACUGCUGCACAUGCUUAUAACUCCAAUGUAGUAGAAAGUAGAGAUAGGAUCACUGAGAUAGGCUGGCCACCAGCCUAACUCCAAGUUGAGUGAGAGAUCCUAUCUUAAAGGAUAAGAUGGAGAGUGAUGAGCUGGAGCGAUGGCUUAGUGGUUAAGAGCACCUACUACUCUUCCGAAGGCCCUGAGUUCAAAUCCUAGCAACCACAUGGUGGCUCACAACUAUCUGUAAUGGGAUCUGAUGCCCUUUUCUGGGGUGUCUGAAGACAGCUACAGUGUACUUACAUAUAAUAAUAAAUAAAUCUUAAAAAGAAAAAAAGAGUGAUCUAGUUGGACAUCUGAAGCCUUCCCUGACUUUUCCAGACCUGUAUGGCACAAGAAAGCACACAGGUGCAUGUGCAUCUUCCACCUUGUAUGAGCUUCUUGAGCUUAGAAAUUCUGCUUUGGAUCACGUAUGUCUUCCAUUGUAUUUGGAAAUACAGAGUUAGAUAUUUAAGGAAAGUGUUCAAAUUAAAAAUAAACAGACUGAACUUAUACAAGAAAUUAAAAGUAGGGCAGAAUGCACCCAGAACCCACUGGCAGGAAGGAUUAAGAGCAUAGUAGGUGUUUAUAAAGUCCCACUUUUAUGUGACUUGGAAUGGUGAGAUGGCUCAGCAGUUAAGCUACUUGCUGUCAGGCUGAGUUCACUCUCCUAGACCCACAAAGAUCCUUAGUUGACUCCUGCAUGUUGUCCUCUGACCUCUGUUACACAUGCCAUGCCAUGUGCAUACCCAGAUCCACAGAAUAAAUAAAUGUAAUAAAAGAAAAAGUUAGUAACUCAGGCUAGGAAAUGAGUCAGUAAAAAGGACCUACAUUCAUUUCCCAGCACCCAUAUCGUGGCUCACAACCAUCUGUAACUCCAGUGCCACAAAAUCCUAUGCUGCCUUCUGGCCUCUGUUGGCAUCAGGCACUCAUGUGGUGCACAUAUAUACAGAGGUAAAUCAUUUAUAUACAGAAAAAUCUUUAAAAAAAUUUAAACUUGAAAAAUAAGAGUUAAUAACUCAGAGUAAUUACCCUUUUUUUUUUUCAUUUUAUUUCAUUUAUUUGGCUUUUUACUCCCUGAGGAAAAGGGAUACCUGUGGUUGGAGAAACAAGUCUUAUUCAUAAGUCAGUGGGGUUUUGUUUUCUUGUCUUACGGGUAUUUGUUUGUUUGUUUAAUCCAGUAUAGCUGUAAUUUGCUAUUUAACCCAGACUUGUCUCAGGCUUGAGAUUGCCCUGCCUACACCUCCCAGGUGCUGGAAUUACAGGCAUAUGUCAGUGGACUUUGCAUUUUCACUCCCUGGUGUGUUUUUAAUGAAAUAGACCUUUCCAUGUUGCUAAUAUUCCAUAGGUUUGUUAGGUUAACUUCUUCAGUAGUACAUCAGAGUUGAAUUAGUUAGACUCUUAGUAACUAGACUCUUAGUAAGUAGAUUUAAUAUGUAUUAAGAGUUUUGUGUGUUUAAUUCAUUUCUACAUAGCUUCUCAUGACAUGUGGAGAGGUGAAGAUGAAUCUGUCAGUUUCCGCAUUUUGAGUAGUUUCUAGAAAACAGGACAUUUUUCUUAAAAAUUCUUAAUGAGUGAAGCCAAGAUUCCCAAUUCAGAUAAUCCUUUAUUUAUGAAUGAGGUGUCUUCGAUGUUCGCUAAAGUACACUUUGGCACUGUGUCACACCAUUCUUGUUCAUUCUGUCCCUGCUGCUCUGCACUGGUGUCCCCCUCUUCCCUUUGCAGUUCAUAGAGCAGAAGCGGGGUGCACGCGCAGCAGUCUUCAGUGACUUCACCACCUGUGCAAGUGCUAGAACUGCACUGCCCUAGUUAGAGAGAACUGGGGGCAGAGGCCACUGCAGGAGGGGGAGGGAGACAGGCAUCGGUGCCUUCAUCUAGUUCCAGGAGAAACAAGUUUGUGCCACAAUAAAAUAAUGGAUCUGGAUACAGAUAAUAAUAUAGAAGUUGCAUGACAAAGUGAGUUAGUUUGUGGUAAAAGUUCUUUCUUAUUCAUAUUAGCAUAUAUGUUGCCACUUUUCAUUUUGACUUAAUUUUAAAUCUGUUUACUGAGAGCAAAGGUUCUUGGCUGUGGAUUUGUAUUGGAAAUGUUUUAUUUUUAAAUAUUGUUUUAUUUUUAAGCUUUUCUUUAUAAAGAAUUUUUUCAAAUGUUCUGAGUGUUUACCUGAACAUAUGUAUGUGCAUAUCUGGUGCUAAUGAAGAAUGCGUUGGGACUUUUCCAGUUCUGAACAGUAGUGAGCGACCGCCAUAUGGGUGCUGGGAACUAAACUUAUGUCUGAAAGAGCAGCGGGUGCUCUCAACUGUUGCACUAUCUCUUGUUUUGUUUUUAGCUUUUGAGACAAGAUCACACUUUGCUGACAUAGAAACACUCAGUUUUCCUCACCCCUGGACAUGCUAGGAUUGAAGGCAUGAGCCGCCACACCUGCCUGGAGUUGUGUUGUAAUUUUUAUAGAUGCUUCUUUCUUCAUGCUGAAAUAUAAACAGAGAGAAACACAAGUUUUUAUGUGGAUGUUGAUUAAGAUUUAACUAUUUUCGCUGGGCAUGGUGACGCACUCCUUUAAUCCCAGCACUUGGGAGGCAGAGGCAGGCGGAUUUCUGAGUUUGAGGCCAGCCUGGUCUACAGAGUGAGUUCCAGGACAGCCAGGGCUACACAGAGAAACCCUGUCUCAAAAAAAAACCAGAAAAAAAAAAAAAAGAUUUAACUAUUUUCUAGAGGUAUUUUGUCAGGAAACUUUUCCUUAAGGCCUCACUUUUGUAUUAAUUACAAGGUAUGUUUUCAUUGCAGCAAAGAAAAAGGAAAAAGUGGUAGGAUUAGGUUAACUGAAUGGAAGUAUUUGCUCUUAUAUAAGAAAAUGCAGGACUGCAGAUAUAUUGCAUUGGUUUGUGUAGUCUCUUCCCUCUUAUGGAAGCCUAUUUUCUGGUGUUAUAAUCAAGUCUCAUUAAAAAUAUUGUUUUUGGAAAUAGUUCAUUGUAUUACAGGAAAUGAACAUUGAUCCUGUUACUGAUAGUUCCUAAGUUAAAAAAAAUCAGUUUGUCUUUUUUUUUAGGAAAACAUUUAAAUUAAUAAAAUAACCAGAGAUGUGGUCUUUUUAUUUUUAAAAGGGGGCAAAUCUGGAGGAGGAAUGGCCUAGUGGCUAAGAGCAUUGGCUGCUCUUCCAGAGGACCCAGGUUCAGUUCCCAGCAACCCACAUGGCAGCUCACAACUGCUAGAACUCCACUUCCAGGGACUUGAAGCCAUCUUCUAGCUUCCCUGGGCACCGGCACACACAACAUAUAUGCAGACAAAACACACCGUACACAUAAAAUAACAAAAUAGAUUUUUUUAAGAAAGUCAAACUUGACAUUUUUUAAUUGUAGAAAAUAAAAUGGGUCCAAGAAAUUUGUAAAAUACAGGUCCAGAAAAUGGCUUAUUAGGCAAAGCCUGAGGACCCACAUAGUUAAGACAGGCCUCACUUUUACAAGUUGCCCCCUUCCCUGCAUGCAUACACACACACACACCACACAUAUCCAGACACACUUAAUGAAAUGCAGCAAAUCAUUAAAUAUAAGAUACAGUAAAGCAUGAGAAAUAAUGAAACUUUUCUAUCAGUGAACAUUUAUUAACAUUUGCUUUAUUUUAUAUUUAUUUGUGAAUGAUAAUAAAUAUAUGAUAAUACUAUCUAAACCUUUCUACUCAGCUUUAAAAAAUAAGAACGAUGUCCUAGACACUUUCAUAUAUGACCCUUUUAGGUAAAUAAUAUUGUCCUUCUUUGGAUUUAUAUUAAAAGAUAACAUAUCUAUGAUUAUGAAGACUAGAUAUGAGUAGAGAAUGUGAAAUUCUAGAUUCUCGUUUGAGUUGUAGAAAAAGAAGUUGGAUGGAUGGGGAGAGUAACAAUUUUACUAUUUUUUUUUUUAUUCUGUAAUCUUUUUUUACAGUCCAGUCGUUAUCCCCCUCCUGAUCCCACCCUCUGACAGUUCCUCAUCUCAUGCCUCCUUCCCCCAGAUUUACUAUCUUUAAUCUCUGAGUUUUGUUUUGUUUUUGUAUGUGGUACAGUGUGGGUAUGUGCAUACAUAGGGGAUGUAGAGAGGAGAUAUACUGGUCUUUGCGGAUUCUGGAUUACCACCUGGUCAUGAGCACAGAAAUGGAUGAAGCUUCUAUUCCAUUUCCUAGUACAGAAAUUCAUGUAAUAGGGGUUGGAGGUAUGGCCCAGUGGUUAAGAGCAUGUUCUUCCUGCAGGCCUGAGUUCAGUUCUCAGCAACCACGUGAGAUGGUGUACAACUAUCUGUAAUACCAGCUCCAGGGGUUUCCAGUGUCUCCAUCCUCCAUGGAUACCUUCACCUGCAGGCACAUACCCACAUGCAUGCACACACUCAUAAUUACAAAAAGAAUAUGUCUGUCUGUCUAAAAUGUACUUAGUACAUUAUACUUAGAGGAUAUAUCAAAUAUUAAGUUGGUAAAAACAAGCCAGUAAUCUAAACCAAAAGUCUGAGAAGUGAUCUGAAUAGUUUCUUACUUGCCCAUUUGUGCUUUAGUUUUCUUACCUGUGUGUGAUGAGUGAUAGCGGCUGUCUCUUGGAUGUGCAUGUGGGGUGUAUGCAUGUCACAGUACACCUAUGGUGGUCUCUCCUUCCUCUGUGGAGGUCCUGAGAAUCUUUAUCCACUGAACCAUCUUAUCAACCUAGUCUUUAAUACAUAAUCAAUUAAAAUUUCUCCUCUACAAAAACAGAGGUGGAGGACUUGCCUACCAAGCAUAAGUCCCUAGAUUCAAUCCUCAGUUCAGCAAGGACAGAUUUUAAGUGUGUUGUAUAAGCUAUAUACAUCAGUGAAGUGGUUUAAAAUAAUUAUACACCAAUGUUAUAUGCUAAUCAAAAAAGCAUUAUGCUAAUCAAAAGUACCCAGUUAGGAGAAAACUGUAUGAUUACAUUUAUGUAAAAUUUCUAAAUUAGAUUUGUAGAAGAGAGAAAUAGGUUGGUGGUCGCCUAGGACAGAGGAGAAUGGGAGGUAAAAGAAGGGAGGUCAGGAAUAAGGGGGGUGACUUGAAAUGAGUAAGAGUGUCUUUGGGAGGUUGAUGAAAAUGCCUUUAGAUGAUGAUUGUACAACUCCCUGAGUAAAGUAAAACUAUUAAUUCUGUAGCUGUAGAUUCUCUCACAAAAGCUAUUAUAGAGAAUAUACUGGAGCCUGGGGAGAAGGGGUGGUGUCUUCUUAAUCCCAGGACUCAGGAGGCUGAUGCAGGUAGAAACCUGAAUUGGAGGCCAGCCUGGUCUACAGAGUGAGGUCCAGGAUAGCCAGGGCUACACAGAGAAACCCUGUCUUAUUUAAAUAUUGGGAGUGGGAUCGAUCAGGAGGUGUUGGUUAUAUUGGUCAGAAACUGACACUGUAACAGUAGCAAAAAAAAAAAAAAAAAAAAA